RNAcentral lists this long non-coding RNA (296 nucleotides) under Manihot esculenta (cassava). Its description in RNAcentral is "long non-coding RNA (MESC_LNC004986)". The record is from RNAcentral. Lineage: Eukaryota; Viridiplantae; Streptophyta; Magnoliopsida; Malpighiales; Euphorbiaceae.
UGUUUUCGUUCUUUGUAGAAGGAUCUUUGCUCUUCAGCAUUCGCUGCUCGGAUCGCACCGCUACGCUUAUUGAGUAACGCUUCCAUAAGCCGAUGACUGGUUGAGCCUGCUCCACCUCUUUCUAUGCAGCGAGUAUUCUUCUUUUCGAUGCUAUUUCUGUCCAGUCGAUCUAUUCAAGAUUUCUGGCGUUACAUGCAUGUCUCUGAUUUUGCUUUUACUAUUUUUCGAUAGAGAUUGUGGUGCCAGAUUUGAAUUUUGCUGCUUGUCGGUAGUCUUGCCCGUUGGGUGCUACGGUU